AGAGUUUGAUCCUGGCUCAGGAUAAACGCUCGCGGCGUGCAUCAAACAUGCAAGUCGAACGCUCGGUGGUCGCAAGACCGCCGGGAGUGGCAGACGGCUGAGGAACACGUCGGUAUCUGUCCCACAGUGGGGAAUACACCACCGAAAGGUGGAUCAAUUCCGCAUACGCUUCCCGGUGGACACGCCGGGACGGAAAGCCGCAAGGCGCUGAGGGAGGGGCCGGCGGGCGAUUAGUUAGCUGGUGGGGUAAUGGCCUACCAGGGCGAUGAUCGCUAGCGGGUCUGAGAGGAUGACCCGCCAGACUGGGACGGAGGAACGGCCCAGACACCUACGGGUGGCAGCAGUUGGGAAUUUUGCGCAAUGGCCGAAAGGCUGACGCAGCAACGCCGCGUGGAGGACGAAGCCUUUUGGGGUGUAAACUCCUUUUCUCAGGGACGAUAAUGACGGUACCUGGGGAAGAAGCCCCGGCUAACUACGUGCCAGCAGCCGCGGUAAUACGUAGGGGGCAAGCGUUGUCCGGAUUUAUUGGGCGUAAAGCGUUCGCAGGUGGUGCAGGAAGUGAUGUGUGAAAGCGCCUGGCUUAACUGGGCGAGGCCAUGUCAAACUCCUGGACUUGAGGGUCGGAGAGGCAGACGGAAUUCCGGGUGGAGUAGUAAUAUGCGUAGAGAUCCGGAGGAACACCUGUGGCGAAAGCGGUCUGCUAGACGAUGCCUGACACUGAGGAACGAAAGCGUGGGGAGCGAACAGGAUUAGAUACCCCGGUAGUCC
This 768-nucleotide ribosomal RNA is filed under the name uncultured soil bacterium. RNAcentral describes it as "bacterial SSU rRNA". It matches the Rfam family "Bacterial small subunit ribosomal RNA", at positions 8 to 796 of the family's 1533-position model. The record is from RNAcentral.